RNAcentral lists this transfer RNA (68 nucleotides) under Marmota monax (woodchuck). RNAcentral describes it as "tRNA.Thr". The record is from RNAcentral. Lineage: Eukaryota; Metazoa; Chordata; Mammalia; Rodentia; Sciuridae.
GGUAUGUAGCUCAGUGGUAGAAUGCUUGCCUAGUAUGCAUGAGGCCCUGGGUCCGAUUCCUAAUACUA